Molecule: long non-coding RNA, 360 nt
Organism: Nannospalax galili (Upper Galilee mountains blind mole rat)
Lineage: Eukaryota; Metazoa; Chordata; Mammalia; Rodentia; Spalacidae
Exons: 3
Source: RefSeq, a predicted model, not a curated record
AGUCCAUUGACCAUGUUCCCAGCACCUUUCGUCCUCCUUUCGAAGCACUGAUGUAUGCAUGCAUUGUAUCUGCACAAAGCAGUCUAGUCAGUCCUUGGCUUUAUGGAAACAUUCUGGGCUACGGUGCUCUGGAAUGACCAAGUGGAAGCAUGAAGCAGUGCUUCAGGCAUGCCCUGGAAAACUUGUGUUGAAGGGAAGAGGCUUUUGCAGGUUGCUAGUAUGUUUCCAGCAGGUAUAACUAUGUAGCCCAGGCUAGUCUGGAACUUUCUACAUAGCCCAUACUGCUCUGGACUUGAGAACCUCCUGCCUGAGCUGCCUGAGUGCUGGAAUUACAGCCUGCUCUACCGUACCUGGCUGAAA